AAUGCUGACUGAAAGGAAAAGUUCAGUUUAGGGUUUAAAACCCUAAUGCUGACUAAAGGAAAGUUUUCAGUUUAGGGUUUAAAACCCUAAUGCUAACUAAAUGGAAAAGUUCAGUUUAGGGUUUAAAACCCUAAUGCUGACUAAAUGGAAAAGUUCAGUUUAGGGUUUAAAACCCUAAUGCUGACUGAAUGAAAAAGUUCAGUUUAUUGUUUAAAACUCUAAUGCUGACUAAAGGAAAAGUUCAGUUUAGGGUUUAAAACCCUAAUGCUGACUGAAUGGAAAAGUUCAGUUUAGGGUUUAAACCCUAAUGCUGAUUAAAGGAAAAAGUUCAGUUUAGGGAUUAAAACCCUAAUACUGAUUAAAGGAAAAAGUUCAGUUUAGGGUUUAAAACCCUAAUGCUGACUGAAUAGAAAAAGUUCAGUUUAGGGUUUAAAACCCUAAUGCUGACUAAAGGAAAAAGUUACAGUUUAGGGUAUAAAACCCUAAUGCUGAUU
RNAcentral lists this long non-coding RNA (494 nucleotides) under Nicotiana tabacum (common tobacco). RNAcentral describes it as "long non-coding RNA (NTAB_LNC004689)". Lineage: Eukaryota; Viridiplantae; Streptophyta; Magnoliopsida; Solanales; Solanaceae. The record is from RNAcentral.